GGGUGGUCGUUUAAGUCCAAUGUGAAAAUCCUGGUCUCCAGCGGUGAACUGCAGUGAUACUGGGCGACUAGAGUGUGGUAGAGUGUCAGGGGAAAUUCUUGAUUUCGCAGUGAACUGCGUAGAGAUCUGGAGGAACAUACAUGGCGAAGGCAGAUACCUGGCUCACACUGACACUGAGGCGCGAAAGCGUGGGGAGCAAACAGGAUAGAUACCCUGAUAGUCCACGCCUCUAAACGAUGCGAACUGGAUGUUGAGUGCAAUUUGGCACGCAGUAUCGAAGCUAACGCGUUAAGUUGAACGCCUGGGGAGUACGGUCGCAAGACUAAGACUCAAAGGAAUUGGCGGGGGCCCGCACAAGCGCUGGAGUAUGUGGUUUAAUUUGAUGCAACGGGAAGAACAUUACCUUGCCUUGACAUGUCCAGAUCUUUACAGAGAAGGAGUUGUGCCUUUGGGAACUAGAACACAGGUGCUCCAUGGCUGUAGUCAGGUCGUCUCGUGAGAUGUUGGGUUAAGUCCCUCAAUGAGCGCAACCCUUCUCCCUAGUUCCCAGCACGUAAUGAAGGGAACUUUAAGGAGGCCGCCGGUGGCAAACCGGAGGAAGGUGGGGAAGACGUCAAGUCAUCCUGGCCCUUUCGGCCAGGGCUACACACGUACUACAAUGGUAGGGACAGAGGGGUGCAAGCCGGCGACGGUAAGCCAAUCCCAGAAACCCUAUUUCAGUCCGG
RNAcentral lists this ribosomal RNA (725 nucleotides) under Stenotrophomonas maltophilia. Its description in RNAcentral is "bacterial SSU rRNA". It matches the Rfam family "Bacterial small subunit ribosomal RNA", at positions 573 to 1296 of the family's 1533-position model. Lineage: Bacteria; Pseudomonadati; Pseudomonadota; Gammaproteobacteria; Lysobacterales; Lysobacteraceae. The record is from RNAcentral.